GAUGAACGCUGGCGGCGUGCCUAAUACAUGCAAGUCGAGCGAACAGACGCUGCUCUUGCUCCUUUGACGUUAGCGGCGGACGUGUGUGUCACACGUGUGUCCCCUCCCUAUCUUACUGGGAUAACUUCGGGAAACCGGCGCUAAUCCCGGAUAAUAUUUCGAUCCGCAUGGUUCGAUGGUGAAAGACGGCUUUGCUAUCACUUCUCGCUGGACCUGGGCCGUUUUGGCUAGUUGGGAGGUUCACGGCUUUCCACGGCAAGGAGUCGUAGCCGACGUGAUAGGGGGGUAGGCGACACUGGAGCUGGAACACGGUCCAGGCGCCUACGGUAGGCAGCAGUAGGGAAUCGUACGCAAUGGGCGAAAGCCUGACGGAGUAACGCCGAGCGAGUGAUGAAGGCCUUCGGAUCGGAAAACUCUGUUAUGAGGGAAAAAUAAACUUGUAAGUAACUGAGCACGGCUUGACGGUACUUAAUCAGGAAGCAACGGCUAACUACGUG
Molecule: ribosomal RNA, 497 nt
Filed under: uncultured bacterium
Lineage: Bacteria
Description: partial 16S ribosomal RNA
Rfam family: Bacterial small subunit ribosomal RNA
Source: RNAcentral